GAUGAACGCUAGCGGGAGGCUUAACACAUGCAAGUCGAGGGGCAGCACGAGAUAGCAAUAUUUUGGUGGCGACCGGCGCACGGGUGAGUAACGCGUAUGCAACCUACCCUGUACAGGGGGAUAGCCCGGAGAAAUUCGGAUUAAUACCCCAUGAUUAUAUUUAGAGGCAUCUUUAGAUAUUUAAAGCUUCGGCGGUACGGGAUGGGCAUGCGUAACAUUAGCUAGUUGGUAGGGUAACGGCCUACCAAGGCUACGAUGUUUAGGGGUCCUGAGAGGGUGAUCCCCCACACUGGUACUGAGACACGGACCAGACACCUACGGGUGGCAG
This 328-nucleotide ribosomal RNA is filed under the name uncultured Bacteroidota bacterium. RNAcentral describes it as "bacterial SSU rRNA". It matches the Rfam family "Bacterial small subunit ribosomal RNA", at positions 28 to 351 of the family's 1533-position model. Lineage: Bacteria; Pseudomonadati; Bacteroidota. The record is from RNAcentral.